UACGUAGGGUGCGAGCGUUGUCCGGAAUUAUUGGGCGUAAAGGGCUCGUAGGCGGUUUGUCGCGUCGGGAGUGAAAACCUCGGGCUUAACUCGGGGCUUGCUUUCGAUACGGGCAGACUAGAGGUAUGCAGGGGAGAACGGAAUUCCUGGUGUAGCGGUGAAAUGCGCAGAUAUCAGGAGGAACACCGGUGGCGAAGGCGGUUCUCUGGGCAGUAACUGACGCUGAGGAGCGAAAGCGUGGGGAGCGAACAGG
This 253-nucleotide ribosomal RNA is filed under the name uncultured bacterium. RNAcentral describes it as "partial 16S ribosomal RNA". It matches the Rfam family "Bacterial small subunit ribosomal RNA", at positions 524 to 776 of the family's 1533-position model. The record is from RNAcentral.